GACGCUGGCGGCGUGCCUAAUACAUGACAAGUACGAGACGGAAUGAUGAAGAAGUCUUGCUUCUUCUGUAUUUUAGCGGCGGACGGGUGAGUAACACGUGGGCAACCUACCUUGUAGAUUGGGAUAACUCCGGGAAACCGGGGCUAAUACCGAAUAAUCCAUUUUGCUUCAUGGCGAGAUGUUAAAAAGGCGGCUUCGGCUGUCACUACGAGAUGGGCCCGCGGCGCAUUAGCUAGUUGGUAGGGUAAUGGCCUACCAAGGCGACGAUGCGUAGCCGACCUGAGAGGGUGAUCGGCCACACUGGGACUGAGACACGGCCCAGACUCCUACGGGAGGGCGGCAGUAGGGAAUCGUUCCACAAUGGACGAAAGUCUGAUGGAGCAACGCCGCGUGAGUGAAGAAGGUUUUCGGAUCGUAAAACUCUGUUGUAAGGGAAGAACACGUACGAGAGUAACUGCUCGUACCUUGACGGUACCUUAUUAGAAAGCCACGGCUAACUACGUG
This 504-nucleotide ribosomal RNA is filed under the name uncultured bacterium. Its description in RNAcentral is "bacterial SSU rRNA". It matches the Rfam family "Bacterial small subunit ribosomal RNA", at positions 32 to 507 of the family's 1533-position model. The record is from RNAcentral.